UCGAGCAUCUGACAUCACUGCAUGCUGAAAUCUGGCAUCGCUGCAAAAUUAGUCCGGAUUCGCACCAGGGGCAAAGUCUGUAAUGUGAUUUAGCCCGGACUCAAUCCUAGGGGCAAAGUCAUAAUCAAGGCACGGAAAUGCUGUGCAAAAUUGUGCGUUGGAUAUGUAACAAGAGAUUGCUUAGUACGUGGUGUGCAGCGCCAAAGAUGUAUUCCGUGUGCGAAAAAGUACAAAAAUAUACUUAAAAAGUCGAAGAGGCCAACACCACUGCAAACAUUGUCAAAGAGCGGUCAAUCCCUCCGUUCGAGAUGUAAAAACAUUUCUCGGAAAAAUUUUAGACUUCAGAACAAAGUAGACUUUCCAAACAUUCAUUAUUAAAUAUUCUGACCUGAAAGUGUUAUCUCAAUAAUUUGUAUUGCGUUAUAUUUUUUUUUGUAACGCAGGUUGUACGUCUAAAAAAGGCAGUACAGUGUAUAAAGGAGAAAUGUGCUCAAGCAAAUACACAGGCAGUGAAAAAUGCUAUAUCAAAACUACCCAUUAAUCAGCAAUUGUUUGUGCAAGCAUGUCUUACAGCUUCUAAAGCAAAAAAUAAAGGCAUGAGAUGCACCACACAGUGGGUGUAUGAAUGCUUGUUAUUGCGGAUCAAAAGCA
Long non-coding RNA from Temnothorax curvispinosus, 651 nucleotides. RefSeq lists it as uncharacterized. The record is from RefSeq and is a predicted model, not a curated record. The transcript is spliced from 2 exons. NCBI's taxonomy places the organism in Eukaryota, Metazoa, Arthropoda, Insecta, Hymenoptera, Formicidae.